GAACCAACACUCGUGUUGCUCCCAGCUGAAUCACCUCUUUGAUGCCUCUCAUUAUCCCUGCAACAACAAACGGAACGUAACUUCUGACUUCGGAGAUUUGCUUUCUCUGGAAGAAACAAUUGUAGUAAUCGUUUCCUCCCCAUUCCCCCAUUAUUACGAUCGAGUUUUUCAAAUUCUCUGCACAUUUCGAUCCACAAGUCGAUUUCAG
This 208-nucleotide unclassified non-coding RNA is filed under the name Hevea brasiliensis (rubber tree). Lineage: Eukaryota; Viridiplantae; Streptophyta; Magnoliopsida; Malpighiales; Euphorbiaceae. The record is from RNAcentral.